This 252-nucleotide ribosomal RNA is filed under the name uncultured bacterium. RNAcentral's name for it is "partial 16S ribosomal RNA". It matches the Rfam family "Bacterial small subunit ribosomal RNA", at positions 524 to 776 of the family's 1533-position model. The record is from RNAcentral.
UACGUAGGGGGCUAGCGUUAUCCGGAAUUACUGGGCGUAAAGGGUGCGUAGGUGGUUUCUUAAGUCAGAGGUGAAAGGCUACGGCUCAACCGUAGUAAGCCUUUGAAACUGGGGGCCUUGAGUGGGCGAGAAGAAGGCGGAAUGCGUGGUGUAGCGGUGAAAUGCAUAGAUAUCACGCAGAACCCCGAUUGCGAAAGCAGCCUUCCGGCGCCCUACUGACGCUGAGGCACGAAAGUGCGGGGAUCGAACAGG